RNAcentral lists this ribosomal RNA (468 nucleotides) under uncultured bacterium. Its description in RNAcentral is "partial 16S ribosomal RNA". It matches the Rfam family "Bacterial small subunit ribosomal RNA", at positions 28 to 507 of the family's 1533-position model. The record is from RNAcentral.
GACGAACGCUGGCGGCGUGCUUAACACAUGCAAGUCGAACGGAAAGGCCCUGCUUUUGUGGGGUGCUCGAGUGGCGAACGGGUGAGUAACACGUGAGUAACCUGCCCUUGACUUUGGGGUAACUUCAGGAAACUGGGGCUAAUACCGGGUAGGAGCUCCUGCUGCAUGGUGGGGGUUGGAAAGUUUCGGCGGUUGGGGAUGGACUCGCGGGUUAUCCGCUUGUUGGUGGGGUAGUGGCUUACCAAGGCUUUGACGGGUAGCCGGCCUGAGAGGGGGACCGGCGACAUGGGGACUGAGAGACGGACCAGACUCCUACGGGAGGCAGCGGUCGGGAAUAUUGCACAAUGGGCGGAAGCCAGAGGCAGCGACGUCGGGAGCGGGAUGCUGGCUUUCGGGGUAAAAACCGCUUUCGCCUGUGCUGAAGAGUGAGUGACGGUACUGGGUAAAGAAGCACCGGCUAACUACGUG